This is a non-coding RNA of Phrynosoma platyrhinos (Desert horned lizard), 73 nucleotides long. The record is from the annotation of a GenBank genome assembly. Lineage: Eukaryota; Metazoa; Chordata; Lepidosauria; Squamata; Phrynosomatidae.
GCCAGUGUGGCAUAGUGUUUUCGAGUGCUGGACUAUGACUCAGGAGACCAGGGUUUGAAUCCCCGCUCAGCCA